This 468-nucleotide ribosomal RNA is filed under the name uncultured bacterium. RNAcentral describes it as "partial 16S ribosomal RNA". It matches the Rfam family "Bacterial small subunit ribosomal RNA", at positions 28 to 507 of the family's 1533-position model. The record is from RNAcentral.
GACGAACGCUGGCGGCGUGCUUAACACAUGCAAGUCGAACGGAAAGGCCCUGCUUUUGUGGGGUGCUCGAGUGGCGAACGGGUGAGUAACACGUGAGUAACCUGCCCUUGACUUUGGGAUAACUUCAGGAAACUGGGGCUAAUACCGGAUAGGAGCUCCUGCUGCAUGGUGGGGGUUGGAAAGUUUCGGCGGUUGGGGAUGGACUCGCGGCUUAUCAGCUUGUUGGUGGGGUAGUGGCUUACCAAGGCUUUGACGGGUAGCCGGCCUGAGAGGGUGACCGGCGACAUGGGGACUAAGAUACGGCCCAGACUCCUACGGGAGGCAGCAGUGGGGAAUAUUGCGCAAUGGGCGGGAGCCUGAUGCAGCAACGCCGCGUGCGGGAUGACGGCCUUCGGGUUAUAAACCGCUUUCGCCUGUGACGAAGCGUGAGUGACGGUAAUGGGUAAAGAAGCACCGGCUAACUACGUG